RNAcentral lists this unclassified non-coding RNA (395 nucleotides) under fungal sp. Its description in RNAcentral is "partial internal transcribed spacer region". The stretch from base 1 to 46 matches the Rfam family "Eukaryotic small subunit ribosomal RNA", at positions 1786 to 1831 of the family's 1831-position model. The record is from RNAcentral. Lineage: Eukaryota; Fungi.
AAGUCGUAACAAGGUUUCCGUAGGUGAACCUGCGGAAGGAUCAUUAAUGAAUUAAUGGAAUGGUUUGAGUGUGGGAGUAGGGGUGUGGAUGGUGGAUGAUUUGGUUGUGGUGGUGGGCGUAUGUAUUUGUAUGUCUGCUGUUGUUGGCUGUGUCGUCAUUAUUUACAUUUCUAUUCUCACAACAAAUCUCUCACAAUGUGCAUUGAAAUAUGAUUUGUGUGGUCGCAUUUAAUGGCUUUGAUUGAUUCUUCAAUUACAGUCGUGGCCACAUUUUUACUUUACUCAUUUUGAUACAACGAAAUCAUUUCUGAAUAAAUGCAAGGGUUUUAGUUGUUACAACUGCCCUGCUUAGGAUUCAUUUACUAAAACUUUUAGCAACGGAUCUCUAGGCUCUU